Molecule: long non-coding RNA, 324 nt
Filed under: Homo sapiens (human)
Lineage: Eukaryota; Metazoa; Chordata; Mammalia; Primates; Hominidae
Description: non-protein coding lnc-JADE1-1:3
Source: RNAcentral
UGUAAGAAGUUUCCUUUGUUUACUACGCUUAAUUGGGAUUCCACACAUGAAUGAAGAAGAGAAGACGGUCUCUCCCAGGGUGACUGGGAAAGGGAAAAAAAGUGAUGAAGGAACAGUCUGUGCCUCAGGAGCAUAUUAUUUCAAGAAGCACAAAUGAAGAGAAAGUCCAAACCCUCUGGGACAGAUGGACUAAAUAUUUUGGUAUUGGAACCACAUGGGGAAAGGCAGCAGUUGGGAAACAGAAACAGAGGCCUGAUAAGGGAACCUGGAAACAGCAUCAAUCUUCUCAGAAGUUUCCAAGGACUCCAGAUAUGCAGGGAACUG